GAUGAACGCUGGCGGCGUGCCUAAUACAUGCAAUUCGAGCGAACAGACGAGGAGCUUGCUCCUCUGACGUUAGCGGCGGACGGGUGAGUAACACGUGGAUAACCUCCCUAUAAGACGGGGAUAACUUCGGGAAACCGGAGCUAAUACCGGAUAAUAUAUUGAACCGCAUGGUUCAAUAUUGAAAGACGGUUUUGCUGUCACUUAUAGAUGGAUCCGCGCCGCAUUAGCUAGUUGGUAAGGUAACGGCUUACCAAGGCAACGAUGCGUAGCCGACCUGAGAGGGUGAUCGGCCACACUGGAACUGAGACACGGUCCAGACUCCUACGGGAGGCAGCAGUAGGGAAUCUUCCGCAAUGGGCGAAAGCUUGACGGAGCAACGCCGCGUGAGUGAUGAAGGUCUUCGGAUCGUAAAACUCUGUUAUUAGGGAAGAACAAAUGUGUAAGUAACUAUGCACGUCUUGACGGUACCUAAUCAGAAAGCCACGGCUAACUACGUG
Molecule: ribosomal RNA, 497 nt
Filed under: uncultured bacterium
Lineage: Bacteria
Description: partial 16S ribosomal RNA
Rfam family: Bacterial small subunit ribosomal RNA
Source: RNAcentral